RNAcentral lists this non-coding RNA (75 nucleotides) under Hydrogenovibrio marinus. RNAcentral's name for it is "c-di-GMP sequence". It matches the Rfam family "c-di-GMP-I riboswitch aptamer". Rfam says of the family: GEMM was predicted in a large-scale screen for bacterial structured RNA regulatory elements. Genes associated with GEMM are involved in a diverse array of functions, including chemotaxis regulation, signal transduction, secretion and chitin. Lineage: Bacteria; Pseudomonadati; Pseudomonadota; Gammaproteobacteria; Thiotrichales; Piscirickettsiaceae. The record is from RNAcentral.
UAAUGUUGAGCCAAACUUACUGUGAAGUAAGGACGGAAAGCCACGGGUCUUUCUAAGAUAGCCGGGUUGCCAUUU